RNAcentral lists this ribosomal RNA (253 nucleotides) under uncultured bacterium. RNAcentral's name for it is "partial 16S ribosomal RNA". It matches the Rfam family "Bacterial small subunit ribosomal RNA", at positions 524 to 776 of the family's 1533-position model. The record is from RNAcentral.
UACGUAGGGUGCGAGCGUUAAUCGGAAUUACUGGGCGUAAAGCGUGCGCAGGCGGUCUCGCAAGUCCGAUGUGAAAUCCCCGGGCUCAACCUGGGAACUGCGUUGGAAACUAGCGGGCUGGAGUGUGGCAGAGGGGGGUGGAAUUCCACGUGUAGCAGUGAAAUGCGUAGAGAUGUGGAGGAACACCGAUGGCGAAGGCAGCCCCCUGGGCUAACACUGACGCUCAUGCACGAAAGCGUGGGGAGCAAACAGG